RNAcentral lists this ribosomal RNA (406 nucleotides) under uncultured bacterium. Its description in RNAcentral is "partial 16S ribosomal RNA". It matches the Rfam family "Bacterial small subunit ribosomal RNA", at positions 29 to 526 of the family's 1533-position model. The record is from RNAcentral.
AUUGAACGCUGGCGGCAGGCCUAACACAUGCAAGUCGAACGAGUGGCGGACGGGUGAGUCAUGUCUGGGAAACUGCCUGAUGGAGGGGGAUAACUACUGGAAACGGUCGCUAAUACCGUAUACCAUCAGAUGUGCCCAGAUGGGAUUAGCUUGUGGGUGGGGUAACGGCUCACCAAGGCGACGAUCCCUAGCUGGUCGGAGAGGAUGACCAGCGACACUGGAACUGGGACACGGUCCGGACACCUACGGGAGGCAGCAGUGGUGAAUAUUGCACAAUGGGCGCAAGCCUGAUGCAGCCAUGCCGGGUGUAUGAAGAAGGCCAUCGGAUUGUAAAGUACUUGCAGCGGGGAGGGGUUAGCCGCAGAAGAAGCACCGGCUAACUCCGUGCCAGCAGCCGCGGUAAUAG